RNAcentral lists this transfer RNA (83 nucleotides) under Oscillibacter valericigenes. Its description in RNAcentral is "tRNA-Leu". It matches the Rfam family "tRNA". From Rfam's summary of the family: Transfer RNA (tRNA) molecules are approximately 80 nucleotides in length. Their secondary structure includes four short double-helical elements and three loops (D, anti-codon, and T loops). The record is from RNAcentral. Lineage: Bacteria; Bacillati; Bacillota; Clostridia; Eubacteriales; Oscillospiraceae. RNAcentral also lists the same sequence under 10 other names.
GCGGGUAUGGUGGAAUUGGCAGACACGAUGGAUUUAGGUUCCAUUGGGCAACCGUGCAGGUUCAAGUCCUGUUACCCGCACCA